This is a long non-coding RNA of Hibiscus syriacus, 277 nucleotides long. RefSeq lists it as uncharacterized. The record is from RefSeq and is a predicted model, not a curated record. The transcript has 3 exons. Lineage: Eukaryota; Viridiplantae; Streptophyta; Magnoliopsida; Malvales; Malvaceae.
GAUCUCGGUUCUCAAAAUUCUAUCCAACUCGCUUUUCUCGCGUUCGGUUCAAAUUCAAAUUUCUCUCUUGCAUCCUUCUGCGAUUAUCUCCAAAGGGAUCAACAGGUAGAGAAGAGAAAUGGGACUGGCAUUCACAAAGCUUUUCAGCCGACUUUUUGCCAAGAAGGAGAUGCGAAUUUUGAUGGUGGGCCUUGAUGUAGCUGGUAAGACUACUAUCUUGUACAAGCUCAAGCUUGGAGAGAUUAUCACCACUAUUCCCACCAUCGGAUUUAAUAUG